GGUCUCUAUCUCCUGACCUUGUGAUCCACCCACCUCAGCCUCCCAAAGUGCUGGGAUUGCAGGUGGGAGCCACCGGGUCCAGCCUCUCCGGCGAUUUUCAUACCUGCAUACUCUGAUCACUACUCUGUUAAACAGUCAAGGAGGCUGAGUGCCACGUGCUGACGUCACUAAGAUCAAUACAGCAAACUCUGAAAGAUGGACAGAGAGACAGGAGAUGGUCCUUUAUAAUGCAGUGUGAUCUGUGCUGCAAUAGAGUUUUGGAAGCUAGAAGUUCAAAACGAGGUGUUGGCAGCACCAUGCUCUCUCUGAAGAUGCUAGGAAGAAUCUGCUCCAUGCCUUUCCAUUCGCUCCUGGGGUUUCCUGCAAGCCCUGACAUUCCUUGGCUUGUAGAUACACCACCCCAGUUUCCGCCCCCAUCAUCACAUGGCCUCCUCUCUGUGGGUGCCUCUGCGUUCCCUCUAUUCUUCUUCUAAGGACACCGACACCAGUCAUAGUGGAUUAAGGGUCCACUCCUAACUAAUUACAUCUGCAACCACCCUAUUUCCAAAUAAAGUCACAUUCUAAGAUUCCUAGGGAGAACAUGAAGUUUUGGGGGUGUGUGGAUACUGUUCAACCUGGGACAUGGAGUAAAUAAAUGGCAAGAAAGAUUACAGAUGACUUUAAGCUAAAGAGGGAGAUAGGGUUAAAUGUAGGACUUUUUUUUUUUUCCAGGACGGGAGAGGUUUAAACAUGUUACUACAUUGAAUAAAUGAAA
Molecule: long non-coding RNA, 754 nt
Filed under: Homo sapiens (human)
Lineage: Eukaryota; Metazoa; Chordata; Mammalia; Primates; Hominidae
Description: HSALNT0305231
Source: RNAcentral